RNAcentral lists this transfer RNA (72 nucleotides) under Camelus bactrianus (Bactrian camel). It matches the Rfam family "tRNA". From Rfam's summary of the family: Transfer RNA (tRNA) molecules are approximately 80 nucleotides in length. Lineage: Eukaryota; Metazoa; Chordata; Mammalia; Artiodactyla; Camelidae. The record is from Rfam by way of RNAcentral. RNAcentral also lists the same sequence under 3 other names.
GGGGGUCUAGCUCAGUGGUAGAGCAUGUGCUUAGCAUGCAUGAGGUCCUGGGUUCAAUCCCUAGUAUCUCCA